UAAGUCAGAAUCCGUGCUAGAGACGAUGAUGUUGGUCCCGCGCAUAUUAGUUGCGUCAGAAUAGAGCUUUGCUCGUGUACCAAAUCAGGUGGGCUGGGUCGGCUUGGCGGAAAUGCCUUGUCGGCUUGCCUGCGAAUUGUAAUAUCAUAUGUGCGGGGGUGAAUCCUUUGCAGACGACUUGAAUGGGAACGGGGUACUGUAAGCAGUAGAGUAGCCUUGUUGCUACGAUCUGCUGAGGUUAAGCCCUUGUUCUAAAGAUUUGUUCAGCCUCGAGUUGAACUCUUCUCCCUCCAUGACUCCGGCUUUAGGGCAGCUUCUCUGGGAGCGUCCGAGCCUUGAUCAUGCAGCUAGAAGGGGUCAGAAUGGUGCAUAUAAUAGGCUUUACAGCGCAUACAAGAGCAUGUAUGGCUUGGUUGAAUUGAUAGAGCGAAGCUGUAGUGUGUAUAGGAGCCGAAUAGAGUGCGAAUACAACGCCAUAUAGCCUGCCUACACAUGUAGCUUGCAUCCACGGGCA
Molecule: ribosomal RNA, 514 nt
Filed under: Corticium lombardiae
Lineage: Eukaryota; Fungi; Basidiomycota; Agaricomycetes; Corticiales; Corticiaceae
Description: partial large subunit ribosomal RNA
Rfam family: Eukaryotic large subunit ribosomal RNA (bases 1-263)
Source: RNAcentral